This 72-nucleotide transfer RNA is filed under the name Bacteroides salyersiae. RNAcentral describes it as "tRNA-OTHER". It matches the Rfam family "tRNA". From Rfam's summary of the family: Transfer RNA (tRNA) molecules are approximately 80 nucleotides in length. Their secondary structure includes four short double-helical elements and three loops (D, anti-codon, and T loops). Lineage: Bacteria; Pseudomonadati; Bacteroidota; Bacteroidia; Bacteroidales; Bacteroidaceae. The record is from RNAcentral.
GUUGGGGUAGCUCAAUUGGUAGAGCGCAUGUUUUACAUGAGGUCAGCAGUUCGAAUCCGUUUCCCGGCUCAA